This 468-nucleotide ribosomal RNA is filed under the name uncultured bacterium. RNAcentral's name for it is "partial 16S ribosomal RNA". It matches the Rfam family "Bacterial small subunit ribosomal RNA", at positions 28 to 507 of the family's 1533-position model. The record is from RNAcentral.
GACGAACGCUGGCGGCGUGCUUAACACAUGCAAGUCGAACGGAAAGGCCCUGCUUUUGUGGGGUGCUCGAGUGGCGAACGGGUGAGUAACACGUGAGUAACCUGCCCUUGACUUUGGGAUAACUUCAGGAAACUGGGGCUAAUACCUGAUAGGAGCUCCUGCUGCAUGGUGUGGGUUGGAAAGUUUCGGCGGUUGGGGAUGGACUCGCGGCUUAUCAGCUUGUUGGUGGGGUAGUGGCUUACCAAGGCUUUGACGGGUAGCCGGCCUGAGAGGGUGACCGGCCACAUUGGGACUGAGAUACGGACCAGAAUGCUACGGGAGGCAGCAGUGGGGAAUAUUGCACAAUGGGCGGAAGCCUGAUGCAGCAACGCCGCGUGCGGGAUGACGGCCUUCGGGUUGUAAACCGCUUUCGACUGUGACGAAGCGUGCGUGACGGUAAUGGGUAAAGAAGCACCGGCUAACUACGUG